This 543-nucleotide ribosomal RNA is filed under the name Melanogaster sp. (in: basidiomycete fungi). RNAcentral's name for it is "Melanogaster sp. partial large subunit ribosomal RNA". It matches the Rfam family "Eukaryotic large subunit ribosomal RNA", at positions 122 to 637 of the family's 3401-position model. Lineage: Eukaryota; Fungi; Basidiomycota; Agaricomycetes; Boletales; Melanogastraceae. The record is from RNAcentral.
CGGUCUUUCGGCCGUCCGAGUUGUAAUCUAGAGAAGCGUCUUCCGCGCUGGACCGUGUAUAAGUCUCCUGGAAGGGAGCGUCAUAGAGGGUGAGAAUCCCGUCUUUGACACGGACUGCCAGUGCUAUGUGAUGCGCUCUCGACGAGUCGAGUUGUUUGGGAAUGCAGCUCAAAACUGGGUGGUAAAUUCCAUCUAAAGCUAAAUACAGGCGAGAGACCGAUAGCGAACAAGUACCGUGAGGGAAAGAUGAAAAGAACUUUGGAAAGAAGAGUUAAACCGUACGUGAAAUUGCUGAAAGGGAAACGCUUGAUGUCAGUCGCGUCGGCCGGGGAUCAACCUCGCUUAGUUGCUUGGUGUAUUUCCUGGUCGACGGGUCAGCAUCAGUUUCGAUCGCCGUACAAGGGCGGAGGGAAUGUGGCACUCUUCGGAGUGUGUUAUAGCCUUUCGUCGCAUGCGGUGACUGGGACUGAGGAACUCAGCACGACCCCUUCGAGGGUUCGGGGCUUCGGCCUACGUAUCGUGCUUAGGAUGCUGGCAUAAUGG